Molecule: long non-coding RNA, 5223 nt
Filed under: Sus scrofa (pig)
Lineage: Eukaryota; Metazoa; Chordata; Mammalia; Artiodactyla; Suidae
Description: lncRNA (ENSSSCG00025030249.1)
Source: RNAcentral
AGGGGACUCUGAGAAUAUAUUUUUUUAAAUCCUAUUUUUAUAAAGGUAGUUUUCCCCAUCAACCAAGAUAUCUACACCUAAUAAAGGUUUAGAUGAUGGUGAGGAGCCAUAUGAAAUGUUUCAGAUGUGGAGGCUGUAGGGUGAGAAAGUGCAUGGCUGGAGGUAGCCUGGGGGGGCAUUAAUGGAACUUAAGAGCCGUUAUUGCUGUCCUGGGACUAGAGUUCAGAGAGCAGAUUGGUCUGUUGGGAGCAUAUUCUCCUGCUUCUGUUACAGCCUGAGUUCACAUUUCCCUGCUUGUGUUCAUUCUCAUGCUUGACUAAGGCACACCCAUUAAUUUGUAUUGUCAAGGCAGAGAGGCAGGUCAGAGGUGCCGUUUGAAUACCUAGAUAAGCAGAUGAAGUCAGUGUGUGAAUAGCAUACCACCAUAGUGAUGCAUGCUAUGCUUACAGGUUCACUCAGCACAGGGCUGCUGGAAGGUAUCACUUGGACACAUGAAACAGUGUGGCUCCGAAUUCUGCUUUUCCUCUUGCACUUAGGAACCUGAAGAAAAACAGCUUUGGGAGAUCCAGGGAGGAUCGAACCUGCAUCCUUGUGGAUGCUAGUCGGAUUCGUUUCCCCUGAGCUGCAACAGGAACUCCAACAUUAAGUACUUUGGGAUAGUGCAAGGAUUUAUUUUAAACUAAACUAAAAAUCAGAUCACAUUUCUCAAGAAGAAAGGCAAUCGCUCACCGGAGCAACCAGUAUGAAGUAUGAAUCAUACUCCAGAAGGCUCUUUCCUUUGCAGGGUUUAAUCCAACACCCUGGUGGGUUAGUACUGUCUACCUCUAGUCCACAUUCCUUGUAGGAAGUACAGUCAAUUCUCAUUACUUGACUAGUUACAUGCUUUAAAGUCACUGGGAAAACUGAAUUAGCACAUUCGGAAUCAUUCCUCCUAGAGGAAGUAUGGGGCUAGGUUCCUGCAAGCCUCUCAUCACAACAUUUUUGUCAGCCAAUCAACACACAACCUUGUUUUAGGUGUUUCUGUUUAAAGACACCUUAUUUAAUAUUUAGUUGAUUCAUUAACAUUGAACUCACAGCCAACAGCACAACUCAUGCCUGAAUGAAGCUUAUUUAACCCAUGGAUUUCUCUGGAAGACACCGCACAGCCUUGUACUUGGGAACACUAGACAGUGUUUCAGCAGUGGGGGCCAUUUUAAACAGUGAAAUCACCAAUAAAAAGCGCACACGCACGCACACACACACACACACACACACACACACACACACACACACACAGACACUAAGUGGACUGAAAAAAGGCCACUUGUUCACAGUGUGAGAGUUGAAACAAGAAGGUAGAACAUUGCCUUGUUUGACCUUGGCGUGGAACGAUCAGGCAACUCAAAUUAUUCACCACCCUGUGAAUGACCAUGAAGGACCAUGAACACACUGGGUAUUUAGAUUGUGGGGUGAGAAAUAAUUUGAAUGAGUAGGUGAAUUUGCAAUAAUGAGGAUCAACUGCAUUUCAUUGUAGGAGGCGACAUCCGAAGUUCAAGUGUUCCAACUGCCCUGGAUAACCUUAAUUUAUCAUGGCAGCCCUCACUGAUGCUUAGCAGUGAAAAUGCUUUUUCACAGAACUCUGAGAGGGCAAGUCUCUUCAUACGGAGCACUUGUCGUUUCGGAUUGACAUCACAAAACAUGCCUUGAAAGCUAGAGAGAGAAAAUUUUAUUGAAGGAGAUCAUAAUUAAGGGGGGAAAAUGUAGUUUCCUAAGGGGAAAUCCAGAAACAACGGGGGAAAGAAGGAUGGAUAAUUGAAAACACACAGGCACACAUACACACACACACAGACAGCACACACAUACACUGAAUCCUUUGCCACUGCAUUUAUGAAUGUGGAAGGGGACUGAAUUGUGUUUGCUAGGAUGAGUAAUGCUUAUUUGAAGACUUCUACUGGGCAGUUAAUAAGGAUAUUAGCCAUUGGGUAUUGAGCACCUGUCCUGGGCCUAAGAAGGACGUUGUGAACAUUGAUCCAUUAACCCUUCAUUUUACAAAAUAAAGCUUUGUGAUGGGGCCUGUUUUGCAGCUGAGGAACCUCAGGAUAAGUAACUUGUAAAUGGUCCUACAGCCUGUCAUCAGCAGAGAUGGGCCUCACAGCCAGGCAGGCUGGGUCCACCCACUAGGCUGUACCCGGUCUCCCACUUUGGCUUAUGACCUCAGCACUCACUAGGAAAAUAACAAGAAAUCAUUUCCAAAGACAUUAUUUUAAAGGGAGAGGGAUGGAUGAGAGGGUGGGCUUCAUUUUGUUAAGGAAGGCCCAGAUCAAUGAAAAUACAGUGGGUGAAAUAGCAGUUUUUGAAAAAAUUCUGACCGUCUCUUGAAUUGGGCUCAUUCCAAUAAUUUACAGAAACAUAAAAAUCACAUAACAAGCUAAAAAUACAGCUAGAAAAUGCUGAACCACUCUUCAAGAGUUUUAGUUUUUUUCUUUGAGUAAUCUCUUCUAUGUUUGUUUAUAUUCUGGACUCCAGUCAUAUAGUGAUGUGAAGGCAAAAUUUCUACUAAAGCAUUAAUCCUAAUAAUAAGCAUUCUGUAACUAGACCUUCCAAUUGGAAUCAAGUACUAAAUCUAGAUUUUGUACCAAAAAUACAAGAAAGAACUUCUUUAAUUGGCCUGAUAUUUGUCAGCACCUAAAGACUCAAAAAAAUUUUAUACAAACCAUUAAAAUAGCCUUAAAUGUUGAGGUAGUCAUUCUUGUCUUCUGCUUCUAAGAAAAUAAAAAAAUAUAUAUAUUUUUAACAAUAAUGUUCAUGAGCUUCUUAUGUUAAGAAUCUGGCAUUGUCAUUGCUGUGGCACGAAUUCAAUCCCUGGCCCAGGAACUUCCACAUGCUGCAGGUGUGGCCAAAAUAAAAAAAUACUCUGAUGGAAAAGCCCUUUACUUGCUCUUCCUCCCCUGCUACCCCCCCCAAAAAAAACCUCCAGAAAAACCUUUAGUAGACAUUUGUAUACCCCCUUUUUUUUUUUCUUUUUCUUUUUGCCAUUUCUUGGGCCGCUCCCGUGGCAUAUGGAGGUUCCCAGGCUAGGGGUCGAAUCAGAGCUGUAGCCACCGGCCUACGCCAGAGCCACAGCAACGCGGGAUCUGAGCCGCGUCUGUGACCUACACCACAGCUCACAGCAACGCCAGAUCCUUAACCCACUGAGCAAGGCCAGUCAUUGAACCCACAACCUCCUGGUUCCUAGUCGGAUUCAUUAACCACUGAGCCAUGACGGGAACUCCUGUAUACCCAUUAAAAUUACAUUACUGAAGAAUAUAUCUUGACAGCAAAUAUACAUCAUAUAUUGCUAUGGGGGAAAAAAAUACCUGCCUACAAAACAAUCUGGCUAAUUUGUGUAACACACACAUUGUACACACAAUAUUCAGUUUGUACCCAGUUUUAACUACAUGUACCAAAAUUCAAGUUACGAUUAUCUUUUGAAGAUGAGAUUAAGUUUUUACUCCAGGAAACCAAGUGUGUCUCAGUGCACCUAGUAUUUUGCUAGUGGAGAGACUUCCAGAUGGUUGGGUCUUCAGCAGCUGUGCACAUCCAGGCUGAUCAGUCUGUUCUUAGGUCAGACUGGCUGGUAAUUACUGACAGAUUGGAGUGUGCCUGAUAUGCAGGAGAUAGGAGAAAGCAGAGAAGAAGGCAGACAGACCCUCUGUAAACAUCUCAGUCACAAUUACACUCCAUUCAGGAAGACAACUGUCCAUGUGAAUUGCACGUAAGUGCCAUAGAGCAGAGCAAAUAUUCAAGUGCUGGGAUAUAGCAAUUACGGUAAAUGAGAGAGGAAAAAUCCCUAUAGUGGGAUAUUUAGAAAGACUCCAUUAAGAGAAGGGACCUUGUGAGCUUUUGUUAUAUUUGGACUGAUAAAAAGGAGAACCAGGAGUUUACUUUUAAGGUGGUAGCAAGAGAAAAACUGCCUGUGCUCUGAUACAUCAGCCUUGACUAUGGGACUGUGUACAGAGGGCUGAGGUUAAGAGGCAGUGUUGUUUAGCUGCUUUCUGUGAGCCAGGGAAAAAUGAGAAAUGAAAGAAUUGAAGAGAAUUCUUAUUUUCUGAAAAGAGCAUCUAGUUACUGCUCAGGAGAGUUAGACAGUUUUUCUGGAGAUAAGUUAAGGACAAACCAAGGUCCCAGACCCAAGACCUAGGGCAGUCUUUGGAGGAAAGUCAAAGAAUGUUGCAGUUCCAGCGCCAAAUUCACAGGAGCCAAACCACUUCCUAAUCUCACUGGACAGCAGGCUAGAAUUCACAGUCCCCAGGGGAACUGAUAAUGCUGACAAUAUCUUGGAGAUCAGCUCUGGGCCAGGCUACCUUGAUAAGCUGUCCCACUGGUUGAUAACUUGUUUGGAAGAUAGAGAAGCCUAAUUGGUCUUCUUGCUUAGAGAAGAACACCCCACCUUUCCACCUCCCCUGGCACGGGCCAGAGGGUGCAGGUAGAUGAUGUAGGAUUGAUUGUCCUUGGAAAUUCAUCUUGGAUUCUCUCCAGUGCAUGGAUAAAUGUUUGAUUUUUCAAAGCAGCAGUUACCUGGCAACCUCCACAUACCUCAUUUCACAAAUCCCCCUGAUAAUCCUGUCAGGAAUACAUUAUAUAAUUGUUAUUUUAUAGUUGAGGAAACUGAGUCUCAAAGAGGUGAUUCACUCACCUCUGCCCCACAGCAAAUUCUGGGGUUAGAAUUUGAGCAAAUCUGGCUGGGACUCCUGCUCUUCCCCACCCACCACAGCCCCACAUGUUGAGGAGAACAGCUAAAGCGUGGUUCUUCCAUGUCUCUGUGAGCUGGGCAAGCCGAGCUCAUUCUUACCCACUCUGUUUCUUGCAGGGCUAUUAAAAUGCAGGAUCUGAUAAGCAUUAGUAGCUGAGAGGAGACUCAGCCCUGCCUGACUGAGGGUACUUGGCGUACAGGCACAUUCCUUGAAGACUUGCAAUGUUUCUGCUUUUAGCAGGGGUGAAUUUCCUUUCUUAAGAUGAAAACUCCACAACAAUGAAUGUUUAACCACUGCAGUGAAUUGCAAUGAUAGAGAAACAUAAGCUCAGAAUCUAGAUUUACAUACCAUGUUAAUAAUAUAUUUUAAGGUGCUCAUAACAUAAUGCAUGCUAUAGCAAAGUCUGCUCUUUACUGAACUUCAGCACCAUACCAGACAUUAUCUAAUUAGAUCCUCACAACUCUGAAAAGCAGUUCAUGUGAUAUUCAUUUGAGACAGGAGGCUAAAAGAG